GCCUCGUCUGGCUCUCGGGGGAGAGCACCCGCCUUGUAAGCGGGAGGGGACGGUUCGACUCCGUCAUGAGGCUCCA
Molecule: transfer RNA, 76 nt
Filed under: Planctomycetota bacterium
Lineage: Bacteria; Pseudomonadati; Planctomycetota
Description: tRNA-Thr
Rfam family: tRNA
About the family: Transfer RNA (tRNA) molecules are approximately 80 nucleotides in length.
Source: RNAcentral